RNAcentral lists this ribosomal RNA (252 nucleotides) under uncultured bacterium. RNAcentral's name for it is "partial 16S ribosomal RNA". It matches the Rfam family "Bacterial small subunit ribosomal RNA", at positions 524 to 775 of the family's 1533-position model. The record is from RNAcentral.
UACGUAGGUGGCAAGCGUUGUCCGGAAUUAUUGGGCGUAAAGCGCGCGCAGGCGGCUUCUUAAGUCUGAUGUGAAAUCUCGGGGCUCAACCCCGAGCGGCCAUUGGAAACUGGGAAGCUUGAGUACAGAAGAGGAGAGUGGAAUUCCACGUGUAGCGGUGAAAUGCGUAGAUAUGUGGAGGAACACCAGUGGCGAAGGCGACUCUCUGGUCUGUAACUGACGCUGAGGCGCGAAAGCGUGGGGAGCGAACGG